Long non-coding RNA from Aedes albopictus (Asian tiger mosquito), 342 nucleotides. RefSeq lists it as uncharacterized. The transcript is spliced from 2 exons. Lineage: Eukaryota; Metazoa; Arthropoda; Insecta; Diptera; Culicidae. The record is from RefSeq and is a predicted model, not a curated record.
GAAACGAAACUAGCCAAAAUUGACAUAAAAAGAACUCAAAAUUAGGUACUCUUCUAUCACUACGGUUUUGGAUACUAUUUUGUUCUCAGUCUUCAAUACUUUUCACUCAAAGCUGAAGUACGUCAAAACUACUCGCUUUUGAGUAAAAUGGAACUUGAACGCAUCAGCGCUUUUUGUUUUGCUUCCCAUUUUCGCAAAGUAUCCAAAAGGGAGUGUUGAUGCAGUACUCAGCAUUGGCUGAAAAUUCAUCACGUACGCCAUAUUGGAUCAAAUUGAUGCGUGCAUUCCGGAACACCCGACCGAACCGGCGGCACCGAUGGAAACGUGUGCAUGGAUUUCAGU